CUCUCUCCUGUCAUUCAGGCAUCUCCUGCUGCUGACUCUAGAACUCAUCUCUCUCCUGUCAUUCAGAUCAACAUGAAGAUCUAUAUCCUUGUUCUGCUGCUCUCUGCUGCUCUGCUGUUCGUGGGACCAGAAACUGCUGAUGCAACAUCGAUUGUCAUCAAGAUUAAGAAUUAUAAGAAGACUGGCCGUAAUAAAGGUUUGCCAGCAUCUGCAGCACCUGCAGCACCUGCAGAACCUGCAGCACCUGCAGAACCUGCAGCACCUGCGUAAUCUGUUACUACCUGAUGAAUCUGAGUAAUCUGUUACUACCUGAUGUAUCUGAGUAAUCUGUUACUACCUGAUGAACCAGAGUAAUCUAUUACUACCUGAUGAAUCAGAGUAAUCUGUUACUACCUGAUGAACCAGAGUAAUCUGUUACUACCUGUUGAAUAAAACACAUGUGACAGUUUAA
Long non-coding RNA from Perca fluviatilis (European perch), 451 nucleotides. RefSeq lists it as uncharacterized. Lineage: Eukaryota; Metazoa; Chordata; Actinopteri; Perciformes; Percidae. The record is from RefSeq and is a predicted model, not a curated record. The transcript has 3 exons.